AUUGAACGCUGGCGGCAUGCUUUACACAUGCAAGUCGAACGGUAACAGGCCGCAAGGUGCUGACGAGUGGCGAACGGGUGAGUAAUGCAUCGGAACGUGCCCAGUCGUGGGGGAUAACUACUCGAAAGAGUAGCUAAUACCGCAUACGAUCUAUGGAUGAAAGCGGGGGACCGUAAGGCCUCGCGCGAUUGGAGCGGCCGAUGUCAGAUGAGGUAGUUGGUGGGGUAAAGGCUCACCAAGCCAACGAUCUGUAGCUGGUCUGAGAGGAGGACCAGCGACACUAGGACUGAGCCACGGCCCAGACUCCUACGGGAGGCAGCAGUGGGGAAUUUUGGACAAUGGGCGCAAGCCUGAUCCAGCAAUGCCGCGUGCAGGAAGAAGGCCUUCGGGUUGUAAACUGCUUUUGUACGGAACGAAACGGCUCUGGUUAAUACCCGGGGCUAAUGACGGUACCGUAAGAAUAAGCACCGGCUAACUACGUG
Molecule: ribosomal RNA, 482 nt
Filed under: uncultured bacterium
Lineage: Bacteria
Description: partial 16S ribosomal RNA
Rfam family: Bacterial small subunit ribosomal RNA
Source: RNAcentral